Molecule: small nucleolar RNA, 233 nt
Filed under: Exophiala spinifera
Lineage: Eukaryota; Fungi; Ascomycota; Eurotiomycetes; Chaetothyriales; Herpotrichiellaceae
Description: Small nucleolar RNA snR191
Rfam family: Small nucleolar RNA snR191
Source: Rfam by way of RNAcentral
UUCCAUCGCUAAGUCAAGGCGCCUUUCUGCAUUCCUUUGCAAAUUUUCUCAAUGGUAGUCGCCUGUUACAGCUUUGGUACAUCAAGCUGCACUUACCAUCUUCUUCGGGGGCUGGUACUAGACUCUGGUUCCGUCUUGGAAACUCUGUCGCCACAGUGCAUCGCGUGUUUCGUUUGAGUUGAGUUGUGCUCUUUUGUUUCAUAGCAUUGCUCUUAGUAAUGUCUCACACAUAC